GACGAACGCUGGCGGCGUGCUUAACACAUGCAAGUCGAACGGAAAGGCCUGCUUUCCCUUGUGGAUUGCGGGUACUCGAGUGGCGAACGGGUGAGUAACACGUGAGUGAUCUGCCCCCAACUUGGGUAUAAGCCUGGGAAACUGGGUCUAAUUCCCGAUAGGACUGCAGGGUGGUGCCUGUGGUGGAAAACGAUUUUCUAGUGGUUGGGGAUGAGCUCGCGGCCUAUCAGCUUGUUGGUGGGGUAAUGGCCUACCAAGGCGGCGACGGGUAGCCGGCCUGAGAGGGUGGACGGCCACAUUGGGACUGAGAUACGGCCCAGACGCCUACGGGAAGCAGCAGUGGGGAAUAUUGCACAAUGGGCGGAAGCCUGAUGCAGCGACGCCGCGUGGGGGAUGACGGCCUUCGGGUUGUAAACUCCUUUCGACCGCGAGGAAGCCACCUGGUUGGAAGGGUGGUGACGGUAGUGGUAGAAGAAGCACCGGCUAACUACGUG
Molecule: ribosomal RNA, 494 nt
Filed under: uncultured bacterium
Lineage: Bacteria
Description: partial 16S ribosomal RNA
Rfam family: Bacterial small subunit ribosomal RNA
Source: RNAcentral